Molecule: ribosomal RNA, 305 nt
Filed under: uncultured bacterium
Lineage: Bacteria
Description: bacterial SSU rRNA
Rfam family: Bacterial small subunit ribosomal RNA
Source: RNAcentral
UUGACCUACGGGGCGCAGCAGUAGGGAAUCUUCCACAAUGGGCGAAAGCCUGAUGGAGCAACGCCGCGUGGGUGAAGAAGGUCUUCGGAUCGUAAAACCCUGUUGUUAGAGAAGAAAGUGCGUGAGAGUAACUGUUCACGUUUCGACGGUAUCUAACCAGAAAGCCACGGCUAACUACGUGCCAGCAGCCGCGGUAAUACGUAGGUGGCAAGCGUUAUCCGGAAUUAUUGGGUGUAAAGGGUGCGUAGACGGAAGAACAAGUUGGUUGUGAAAUCCCUCGGCUCAACUGAGGAACUGCAACCAAA